Molecule: long non-coding RNA, 589 nt
Organism: Amblyraja radiata (thorny skate)
Lineage: Eukaryota; Metazoa; Chordata; Chondrichthyes; Rajiformes; Rajidae
Exons: 3
Source: RefSeq, a predicted model, not a curated record
UGGAGAGAAGGAAUAGGUGACGUUUCGGGUCGAGACACUUCUUCAGACUGAUGUCAGUAGAACACAGAUGAUUCAGGCCCUACACGACACAUUGAAAACAGCCAAGCAGAUAGCAGCCAAUGUUCCUAUUGUGCGGCAACAAACUCUUCUCCACGUUCAGUUGUUUGUGAAGCAGGCUUAAAGUGUGCGAGGAGACCAAAGAUCUCGGAGAAAACCCACGCAGUCACGGGGAGAACCUGCAAACUCCAUACAGACAGCAACCAUAGUCGGGUUCGAACUUGGGUCGCAGGCGCUGUAAGGCUGCAACUCGCCACUGUGCCGCCCCACGUUUCCAUGGUAACUAAUUCCUGCAUUGAAGUAUCCAAUAAAAUUAAUAAAGUCCUCAAAAAAAAUGUAGUUGUGUUUCAGGUUAUGAAAAGCACUGUAACAUAAUAUUCUUAAUAAAACUAAUAAUAAUUUAAAGAAUUGUACUGGCAGGGAUGUUGGUGAAUCUCAGUUGCUAUUAUAAUAUGUUCAUUUGCUGGAUAUAGAUCUGAAUUGCUUGGAGAAUAGAAAUGUGAACUGAAAUGCAUGGCAAAUAAUUCAAAAA